GAGCUCACUCAGCAACACACACACUAAAAUUGGAACAACGCACAGAAAACAACAUGGCCCCUGUGCACGAGUGACAUGCAAACUGUGGGCAUUCCAUUUUU
This 101-nucleotide small nuclear RNA is filed under the name Ovis aries (sheep). Lineage: Eukaryota; Metazoa; Chordata; Mammalia; Artiodactyla; Bovidae. The record is from RNAcentral.